AGGUGAUGGACAACAGGUUGAUAUUCCUGUACUACCGAUAACCGUUUGAGAGAAGGGAGGACACAGUAGGAUAAGCUAAGCACACUGUUGGUUAUGUGUGCCCAAGCAUUGAGGCAGUCAAAGUAGGCAAAUCCGCUUUGAUAAUGCUGGGGUGUGAUGGGGAGCGAAAUUUAGUAGCGAAGUAGCUGAUUUCACACUGUCAAGAAAAGGCUCUAUCGAGGUUAAAGGUACCCGUACCGCAAACCGACACAGGUGGGUGAGGAGAGUAUCCUAAGGCCAGCGAGAGAACUGUUGUUAAGGAACUCGGCAAAAUGACCCCGUAACUUAGGGAUAAGGGGUGCCACCAUCAGGUGGCCGCAGAGAAUAGGCCCAAGCGACUGUUUACCAAAAACAUAGGUUUCUGCUAAGUCGCAAGACGAUGUAUAGGAGCUGACGCCUGCCCGGUGCUGGAA
RNAcentral lists this ribosomal RNA (452 nucleotides) under Clostridioides difficile. Its description in RNAcentral is "bacterial LSU rRNA". It matches the Rfam family "Bacterial large subunit ribosomal RNA", at positions 1413 to 1874 of the family's 2925-position model. The record is from RNAcentral. Lineage: Bacteria; Bacillati; Bacillota; Clostridia; Peptostreptococcales; Peptostreptococcaceae.